RNAcentral lists this transfer RNA (76 nucleotides) under Dialister pneumosintes. Its description in RNAcentral is "tRNA-Glu(ctc)". It matches the Rfam family "tRNA". From Rfam's summary of the family: Transfer RNA (tRNA) molecules are approximately 80 nucleotides in length. Their secondary structure includes four short double-helical elements and three loops (D, anti-codon, and T loops). Further hydrogen bonds mediate the characteristic L-shaped molecular structure. tRNAs have two regions of fundamental functional importance: the anti-codon, which is responsible for specific mRNA codon recognition, and the 3' end, to which the tRNAs corresponding amino acid is attached (by aminoacyl-tRNA synthetases). tRNAs cope with the degeneracy of the genetic code in two manners: having more than one tRNA (with a specific anti-codon) for a particular amino acid; and 'wobble' base-pairing, i.e. permitting non-standard base-pairing at the 3rd anti-codon position. The record is from RNAcentral. RNAcentral also lists the same sequence under 4 other names. Lineage: Bacteria; Bacillati; Bacillota; Negativicutes; Veillonellales; Veillonellaceae.
GGCCGGUUAGUCAAGCGGUUAAGACGCUGCGUUCUCAGCGCAGAGAGCAUGGGUUCGAAUCCCAUACCGGUCACCA